GCAGCAGCCGCGGUAAUACGGAGGGUGCAAGCGUUAAUCGGAAUUACUGGGCGUAAAGCGCACGCAGGCGGUCUGACAAGUCAGAUGUGAAAUCCCCGGGCUUAACCUGGGAACUGCAUUUGAAACUGUCAGGCUGGAGUCUUGUAGAGGGGGGUGGAAUUCCAGGUGUAGCGGUGAAAUGCGUAGAGAUCUGGAGGAAUACCGGUGGCGAAGGCGGCCCCCUGGACAAAGACUGACGCUCAGGUGCGAAAGCGUGGGGAGCAAACAGGAUUAGAUACCCCUGUAGUCCCUGUCUCUUAUAC
RNAcentral lists this ribosomal RNA (302 nucleotides) under uncultured bacterium. RNAcentral describes it as "partial 16S ribosomal RNA". It matches the Rfam family "Bacterial small subunit ribosomal RNA", at positions 508 to 807 of the family's 1533-position model. The record is from RNAcentral.